CCUACGGGAGGCAGCAGUGAGGAAUAUUGGUCAAUGGCCGUAAGGCUGAACCAGCCAAGUAGCGUGAGGGAAGACUGCCCUAUGGGUUGUAAACCUCUUUUAUGCGGGGAUAAAGGUUUCCACGUGUGGAUGUUUGCAGGUACCGCAUGAAUAAGGACCGGCUAAUUCCGUGCCAGCAGCCGCGGUAAUACGGAAGGUCCGGGCGUUAUCCGGAUUUAUUGGGGUUAAAGGGAGCGUAGGCCGGUCUUUAAGCGUGCCGUGAAAUUUUGUGGCUCAACCAUGCCAGUGCGGCGCGUACUGGCGAGCUUGAGUGCGCGAAAGGCAGGCGGAAUUCGUGGUGUAGCGGUGAAAUGCUUAGAUAGGACGAAGAACCCCGGUGGCGAAGGCAGCCUGCCGCAGCGAUACUGACGCUGAGGCGCGAAAGCGCGGGUAUCGAACAGGAUUAGAUACCCGGGUAGUC
RNAcentral lists this ribosomal RNA (460 nucleotides) under uncultured bacterium. RNAcentral's name for it is "partial 16S ribosomal RNA". It matches the Rfam family "Bacterial small subunit ribosomal RNA", at positions 338 to 795 of the family's 1533-position model. The record is from RNAcentral.